ACUCCUACGGGAGGCAGCAGUGAGGAAUAUUGGUCAAUGGGCGAGAGCCUGAACCAGCCAAGUCGCGUGAAGGAAGAAGGUUCUAUGGAUUGUAAACUUCUUUUGUAAGGGAAUAAAAUGCGCUACGUGUAGUGUUUUGUAUGUACUUUACGAAUAAGGAUCGGCUAACUCCGUGCCAGCAGCCGCGGUAAUACGGAGGAUCCAAGCGUUAUCCGGAUUUAUUGGGUUUAAAGGGUGCGUAGGCGGACCCAUAAGUCAGUGGUGAAAGUUUGCAGCUCAACUGUAAAAUUGCCAUUGAAACUGUGGGUCUUGAGUGUAAAUGAGGUAGGCGGAAUGUGUUGUGUAGCGGUGAAAUGCUUAGAUAUAACACAGAACACCAAUUGCGAAGGCAGCUUACUAGAAUACAACUGACGCUGAGGCACGAAAGCGUGGGGAUCAAACAGGAUUAGAUACCCUGGUAGUC
RNAcentral lists this ribosomal RNA (463 nucleotides) under uncultured bacterium. RNAcentral's name for it is "bacterial SSU rRNA". It matches the Rfam family "Bacterial small subunit ribosomal RNA", at positions 335 to 795 of the family's 1533-position model. The record is from RNAcentral.